Molecule: long non-coding RNA, 1512 nt
Filed under: Mytilus galloprovincialis (Mediterranean mussel)
Lineage: Eukaryota; Metazoa; Mollusca; Bivalvia; Mytilida; Mytilidae
Source: RNAcentral
UGAUAAUUGUUGAACACUUUUGUGUUUAAGGAUGUACUUAGUUGAGGUUAGGUUAAAAUUAAUAAAUUAAGAAGUUAAAAUUUAUACUUUAAGCUGGUAGAGCAUCACUUAAGGAUAAAAAUAAGCUAAAAAUAUUGAUAGGUCAUGGACCUCCUUUACGAGAUAUUUGAGAUUUAAGAUGUGGCGGGAAAAGACUGACUCGGACUUUUACCUUACAUUUGCAUUGGUAUUAUUUGGUCUCAAAACAAAAGAAAGAAAUUAAGAAUCUUCUUAAAUUUUGUUAAAUGACCUUUCACUAGGUAUUAAAUCUUAUAUGAAAAAAUAAAUGGGUGUUAUGGUGCAAAAUAUUUUACAUUGUGUAUUAUGGAUAAACACCCAGGAGUCCGAACAUUUGACACAAAUUCCAAACCCUCACCUAAGUACACCCUUAAUUGAUAUGUUGGAACAAAUAAUUUAGUAAACAUUCAGGAGGUGAUUCUGUAAAUAAUAUUUAUCCUUUAAACUCAUUAACUGUGAAAUAGAAAAUCGAUUAUUUCUUACCAAUUUGAUUACAAAAUAUUUUGUAUUUGAUGUUUUAUAAAGAAAUAGUCUCAAUACUCAGGCCUGGUGUCUUUAAACGUAUCUUUCCAUUUUAAGCAUGACUUGUAGCAAUGACAACAUUAUGUAAACUCAUUGUUAGGUAAUGAUGUAUAUUAUGGUAUCAUGGAUAUUUCUUUCUAAGUUUGGUAAAUGAAUUUUCAUAAGCUACUGCAGCCUUAUAUGAUUUAAAAAAUGGGAUUAUGGAGCAAAAUAGUUUACCCUGUAACGCAGGGAAAAUACCAAGGAAUCCGAAGGUCUGACACAAAUUUCAAAACAUGACCCAAGUCCAUCUUUAAAAAAGAAAAGUUUGGAAAUUUUACAGAAAUAACUUUUUUACAUAAGAAAUAAUUUUUCACCCUGAUGUAAUUUCGGACAUGCAGUAAAAAAUAGUAUAAUUUAUUCAAAACUGUCAUUUUAGAUUUAGAGUAUUUUAUCAAAUGGAGCUUUUCAACAUACAUUUUCUGAAUAUAUUACAUUGAGCAACUGUCUUCUGGUCAUUCAAUUAUUGUAAAUGGAAUUCUUAAACAUUGGCCAAUUGAGACAGUUUUUGCAAAUUCACCAAUAAGGCUCAAAUGAAUCUGUAAUAGUACACCAGUGUCUAUACAAAUGUUUAUUUUGCAGAGUUAAAAUAAAAAUCAUAAUGUUGUGGGAUAUUUGAAUUCAAGGGAGAAAAAGAAUGAUGGAAAACGAAAUAUCAUAUUUUCUUCUCUUUUGAACGUUUAAUUUCCCAUUAGAUUUUUAUAUUAUAUAGGAUUAUAUUAGAUAUCAAAUGCAAAUUAUGAAUGAAUUUAAAUAGUUUUGUGAUUAGAAUGGAAUAAAGCAUAGCAGUAUCAUGUUGAGAUCCAAAAAACAUUAAUGUAAUAUAUAUUUUAUUGCUGUUAAAAUUGUAUAACUGUUUGGUAAUGAUUAGCUUCAAUAAAUAAAACAUGAUAA